This 497-nucleotide ribosomal RNA is filed under the name uncultured bacterium. RNAcentral describes it as "partial 16S ribosomal RNA". It matches the Rfam family "Bacterial small subunit ribosomal RNA", at positions 28 to 507 of the family's 1533-position model. The record is from RNAcentral.
GACGAACGCUGGCGGCGUGCCUAAUACAUGCAAGUAGAACGCUGAAGAGAGGAGCUUGCUCUUCUUGGAUGAGUUGCGAACGGGUGAGUAACGCGUAGGUAACCUGCCUGGUAGCGGGGGAUAACUAUUGGAAACGAUAGCUAAUACCGCAUAAAAUGGAUUAUCGCAUGAUAAUCCAUUGAAAGGUGCAAAUGCAUCACUACCAGAUGGACCUGCGUUGUAUUAGCUAGUUGGUGGGGUAACGGCUCACCAAGGCGACGAUACAUAGCCGACCUGAGAGGGUGAUCGGCCACACUGGGACUGAGACACGGCCCAGACUCCUACGGGAGGCAGCAGUAGGGUAUCUUCGGCAAUGGACGGAAGUCUGACCGAGCAACGCCGCGUGAGUGAAGAAGGUUUUCGGAUCGUAAAGCUCUGUUGUAAGAGAAGAACGAGUGUGAGAGUGGAAAGUUCACACUGUGACGGUAUCUUACCAGAAAGGGACGGCUAACUACGUG